UUGAUGAACAUGUAGUAAGGUAAGUUCUAGUUAUAUUGUAGUGAAUGCUUGUGUGUACGUGCGCGUGUGUGCAUGCGCAUGUGUGCGUUCGAGAGAGCGAGAGAGAAGAGGAAGGGAGAAAGAGAGAGAGAGGGGGACAUGUGAGUGACAGCCCCCACUUCGGUGAUUGCAUUUGAAGUUACUGUCUUCCAGUUUUGUCCUAAUGCGUUUUUUUUCCCCCUCAUCAGUUUUGCUUUACUUUAUUGGUAAGUGUCUACCUUAAGUCUCGUCUUUUUAAACUCUCAUCUGGUGCCAGUCUGCUAUAUCUGUCCUCAUAUUUGUCCCGUUAAAGUACCAAUGGUUUGUUUAUAUUAGAAAGGACAGGGCCACACAUAGUUAUUUCCCCUUAAAAAAUUACAGCAGUAUUGUUUUACUCUUUUUAUUUUAUUUUUUUGCAAUUUUUUUCGUUUUUCUUUUUUCACAGAAGUUUGAACAUUGGCGAACCGUGGAAGAUUCUUCUGGACGUAAAGAAGAAGUCUAUACUAAAGUAGCAGAUGGCCAAAAACACACGAUAACCCGUAAAGUCGAUUCAGUGGGUAAUGAAGAAGAAACUGAAGAAGUACAGACCUUGGGAAACCCUUAUGAAGACCAGUUUGAUAGAACAUCAAGGAGUCCCUUAAGUGAUAAUCAUGAUCAGGCAAAUGACCAGCUUUACAGUCCCUACCAGCAAGGAAUCUCGUCAAUCAGAUAUUACUUCUCAAAUUUAUUUGGUUUUAAACGUGAUUAAAUUGUUGCUUCUUGUAAUUUCUUUCAUUCAGUUGUGAUUUUUAUGUAGAUUCAGCUUUUGUAAUAAAUUCUAUUACAGCAUU
Octopus bimaculoides (California two-spot octopus) is the source of this 848-nucleotide long non-coding RNA. NCBI's taxonomy places the organism in Eukaryota, Metazoa, Mollusca, Cephalopoda, Octopoda, Octopodidae. The record is from RefSeq and is a predicted model, not a curated record.